GAUGAACGCUAGCGGCAGGCUUAACACAUGCAAGUCGAGGGGCAGCGCGAUGUAGCAAUACAUUGGCGGCGACCGGCGCGCGGGUGCGUAACACGUAUGGAACUUACCCUUUACUGGGAGAUAGCCCGGAGAAAUCCGGAUUAAUAUCCCAUAAUAAACGAAGUGGCAUCACUUUGUUUUGAAAGCUCCGGCGGUAAAGGAUGGCCAUGCGCACGAUUAGCUAGUAGGUGAGGUAACGGCUCACCUAGGCUACGAUCGUUAGGGGGCCUGAGAGGGUUAUCCCCCACACUGGUACUGAGACACGGACCAGACUCCUACGGGAGGCAGCAGUGAGGAAUAUUGCGCAAUGGAGGCAACUCUGACGCAGCCAUGCCGCGUGCAGGAAGAAGGCGCUACGCGUUGUAAACUGCUUUUAACCGGGAAGAAACCCUCCGACGUGUCGGAGGUUGACGGUACCGGAGGAAUAAGCACCGGCUAACUUCGUG
Molecule: ribosomal RNA, 485 nt
Filed under: uncultured bacterium
Lineage: Bacteria
Description: bacterial SSU rRNA
Rfam family: Bacterial small subunit ribosomal RNA
Source: RNAcentral